CAAUAUAAGUGAUGGCGACCGGCGCACGGGUGAGUAACACGUAUCCAACCUGCCGAUAACUCGGGGAUAGCCUUUCGAAAGAAGGAUUAAUACCCGAUGGUAUAAUAAAACCGCAUGGUUUAAUUAUUAAAGAAUUUCGGUUAUCGAUGGGGAUGCGUUCCAUUAGGCAGUUGGUGAGGUAACGGCUCACCAAACCUUCGAUGGAUAGGGGUUCUGAGAGGAAGGUCCCCCACAUUGGAACUGAGACACGGUCCAA
RNAcentral lists this ribosomal RNA (256 nucleotides) under uncultured bacterium. RNAcentral's name for it is "partial 16S ribosomal RNA". It matches the Rfam family "Bacterial small subunit ribosomal RNA", at positions 74 to 334 of the family's 1533-position model. The record is from RNAcentral.